RNAcentral lists this long non-coding RNA (579 nucleotides) under Numida meleagris (helmeted guineafowl). RNAcentral describes it as "lncRNA (ENSNMEG00000004468.1)". Lineage: Eukaryota; Metazoa; Chordata; Aves; Galliformes; Numididae. The record is from RNAcentral.
ACUUCAGUUAAGUGUCCACACAGUAUUAUGACAGCUUCUCAGAUCAAGCUCCAGCUGUGCUUGUAACGCCCUUUGCAUCUGAUUCUUCAGAGCCUCAGAGAGCACCACAGUGAAAGACUCAUGAAAAAAAAUAAAACAGCCUUGGUUUGGGUAAGGUGUAAAUUCCACUGUGACGUGGUCUUGGGUCCCACGUCACAAAAAAGUGAAUAAUUUUACAGCUGUGAUCUCAUCCUGUCCAACGUUGCCUACCACCAUGUCCAGUCCAGAAGUGCGCCAUGCUGUUGAGUUAUGGCCCUCAGCUGCUAGGGACCCUGAAAAGGUGAAAAUACGCUGUUCCCUGGAGAACAUCAGUGAAGCUGGCAGCAGGAUGCCUUGCAGAUGAAGGCAUAGCAGAGUGUGAAGGCUGGACAUUGAUGCUAGGUAAAGUUAAUGCUUGACUUGGAAAUAGAACAGCCGUGCCGUGGACCUGGAAUUUUGAAAAAUGAAAACAGCAAACUUUGUUUGAAAGAAACACUACAAAAAAUGGCAAGACACCAUUCGCUAAUUCUGUUAUGAUUUGUCAUAGAAUAAACAGAGAGA